RNAcentral lists this ribosomal RNA (1725 nucleotides) under Triticum aestivum (bread wheat). Its description in RNAcentral is "partial small subunit ribosomal RNA". Lineage: Eukaryota; Viridiplantae; Streptophyta; Magnoliopsida; Poales; Poaceae. The record is from RNAcentral.
AUGUACGCGCCCCCCUCCUCCCUGCCACCGACCGUAUCGAACGCCGCGAGGGGAAGCUCAGCUCAUGCUCAGCUCGUCUCCUCUCCUCCUCUCGCAGGGCCGCCGCGGGGACGCUUCGCCGACAUGAUUCUGGCCAACGCCACCAUCUACACCGCCGACCCCGCCCGCCCCUUCGCCGCCGCCAUGGCCGUCCGCGCCGGCCGCGUCCUCCGCGUCGGCACCUACGACUCCCUCAAGGAAUUCAAGGGCCGCCACACGUAUGAGUUGAAUCUCAGUGGCAAUGUGGUGCUCCCAGGAUUCAUCGACUCCCAUGUGCACCUAAUCGACGGCGGCCUGCAGCUGGCGAGGGUGCCGCUUCGAGGGGUUAGGAGCAAAGACGAGUUCAUCAGCAGGGUGCAGGGAGCCGUCAGAGAUAAACAUCCUGGCGGGUGGGUGCGCGGAGGAGGGUGGAACAAUGAUUUCUGGGGCGGUGAAUUCCCCACUGCUGCUUGGUUAGACGAUAUAUCUCCUGAUAAUCCAGUUUGGCUCUCACGCAUGGAUGGUCACAUGGGACUAGCCAAUUCACUAGCUAUGAAGAUUGCUGGGAUUGACAAAAACACAAAUGACCCAGUUGGUGGAACUAUUGUAAGAACAACGGAAAGAGAGCCCACUGGUCUUCUGGUUGAUGCUGCUAUGAAGCUUGUAUUUGAUGUGGUUCGAGAAGACUCUGUUAAUGAAAGGCGAGAGGCUCUCCUUAGAGCAAGUAGACACGCUCUAAUGAGAGGGGUGACUACUGUUGUUGAUGUUGGAAGUUAUUUCCCUGGAACCUCAGAAGAGCAAACUUGGCAAGAUUUUUCAGAUGUGUAUGAAUGGGCUCAUUCUAUGGGAAAGAUGAUGAUCAGAGUCUGCUUAUUCUUCCCAAUGCCGACAUGGCCUCGUGUUUCUGAUCUUAUUCAUGAAAGAGGUCGAUCUUUAAGUGGGUGGAUUCAUCUAGGUGGUGUGAAAGCUUUUCUUGAUGGUUCUUUGGGUUCCUCAAGUGCAUGGUUCUAUGAGCCUUAUGAGGAUGCUCCUGGCGAUUAUGGUCUCCAAUUGUUAGAUAUGGAUGUUCUGCUGAAUGCAACAUUAGAAUCAGACAAAUCGGGACUUCAGGUUGCCAUACAUGCAAUUGGAGAUAAAGCUAACGAUAUGCUGCUAGAUAUGUUCGACAAGGUUGUUAGUUUGAAUGGAACGAAGGACCGUAGGUUCCGGAUUGAGCAUGCUCAGCAUCUAUCCCCAGGUGCAGCAAAGCGCUUCGGAGAGCAUGGCAUCAUUGCAUCUGUGCAGCCAGAUCAUUUGUUGGACGAUGCCGACUCUGCUGGAAAGAAGAUCGGGGUAGAACGAGCUGAGCGGAGCUCCUAUUUAUUUCGGUCACUAUUGGCCGGUGGCGCACAUCUGGCUUUUGGUUCUGAUUGGCCUGUUUCAGAUAUUUACCCCUUGCAAGCGAUUAAAACCGCGAUGUCCCGCCAACUGCCUGGAUGGGAGGCGCCCUGGAUCGCCACGGAGCGCUUGCCCCUAGACGACUCCUUGAAAGCGCACACGAUAUCUGCCGCCUACGCCUGCUUCCUGGACCAUGUUGUGGGCAGCCUCGCCGAAGGGAAGUACGCCGAUUUCGUGGUCCUGCCGUCCACCUCGUGGCGCGAGUUCGCCGACGACAUCCCGGGGCACGUCCUGGCGACAUAUGUGAACGGCAAGCAGGCCUAUCCGUAG